Molecule: ribosomal RNA, 1080 nt
Filed under: Triticum aestivum (bread wheat)
Lineage: Eukaryota; Viridiplantae; Streptophyta; Magnoliopsida; Poales; Poaceae
Description: partial small subunit ribosomal RNA
Source: RNAcentral
AUGACGGGACUAGGCGGCGGCGCGGCGGCCCCCGGGGACUACGUCUACUUCAAGUCCGUCGUCCCGCUCCACAAGAUCUCUAUUGGAUCAAAAUUGUGGAGAUAUUAUGAUUUUGGCCCCAAGGCUGUGCCACCCCUUAUCUGCAUCCCAGGAAUUGCUGGGACGGCUGAUGUAUACUAUAAGCAGAUAAUGUCCCUCUCUAUGAAGGGUUAUCGAGUAAUAUCUAUUGAUGUUCCCCAAGUUUGGAAUCACCAUGAAUGGAUUCAUUCCUUUGAAAAGUUUUUGGACUCCAUGAAUAUCCAUCAUGUUCAUAUCUGUGGUACAUCUCUUGGUGGAUUUCUUGCACAAAUAUUUACUCAAUACCGCCCAAGGAGAGUAAAGUCCUUGGUGCUAUCAAAUACCUUUCUUGAGACACACAAGUUUGCUGCUGCUAUGCCAUGGUCUCCACUUGUCAGUUGGACCCCUUCUUUUUUGCUGAAGAGGUAUCUCUUAACAGGAAUUCGAGAUGGUCCACAUGAACCAUUCAUUGCAGAUUCUGUGGAUUUUGUAGUGGGUCAGGUAGAGACAUUAUCAAGAGAAGACCUUUCGUCAAGGUUGAUAUUAAAUGUCAAUGUUGCAUCAGUUGGGUCAUUAUCGCUACCUGAUUCAUUCAUCACAAUAAUGGAUACGAACGACUACUCUGCUGUUCCUCAGCAGUUGAAGGACCAAGUGAAUGAAAGGUACCCAAGUGCAAAGCGUGCAGUACUGAGGACUGGUGGGGAUUUUCCCUUCCUGUCACGUCCAGAUGAGGUCAAUUUGUACCUUCAGCUACACUUAAGGCGAGUUGGAGUAGAACCAAGACCAGAUCUAGUCCAGGGUUUCACACGGGAUGGUAGCUCCGGGAGCUCAAACGACCACGAAGAUGGAAACAGUUUUGAUGACCAUCCCAGAGAUGAUGGGGACCGUAGUUCAGGUAGUGAUGGCCGUAAGACGGAGCACUCUGAAUCAGGGCCACCUAAUUCAGAUGGACUGGUACCAACAAGCAUAGUGCUAGGUAUGGUCAGUUCAGCUCUGCAUGUUUCCCUAUGUGCGUGCUCAUGA